This is a long non-coding RNA of Equus caballus (horse), 1667 nucleotides long. NCBI's taxonomy places the organism in Eukaryota, Metazoa, Chordata, Mammalia, Perissodactyla, Equidae. The record is from Ensembl.
GAGAGUUUAUAGUGCUCGUAAUUUGUGCUUGAGAAGAUGAUUCAAGGAGGGCAUGAUAGCUAUGUUCAAGAUGUGAAAGGCUGUCAUAUGAGAGAGGAAUGAGAUUUGCUUUGCGGGUUUCGUGGAGCACUCAGCCCUGGUGUUCCACCACAUGAUAGAGAGAGGGAUUAGUAUGAUGUGUCUUCCUUCACGGAGACUUGGGUUCAAAGCCAGGGAGAGAGCAUUUUACUUGGUCACAUUGCAGACUGGCUUGGGGCAGGCCUGCUGGAUCCUCAUCAACAUCAGCUGGUGGGGAAGGGAAAGCAUCAGCGGACCGAUGAAGUGGGAGGCUGGGGAAAUGGACAGGCUGAAGGACUAGAUCCUGCUGGGCAGGCAGUGCUCUUAGGGGCUGCGUCUGAGACUUGUGUUGGGUUCAGGCUCCAUUUGGGCAGGAGGCACUUUCCACGGAGGUCUAACCUGACAGAUCUAUUCUCUAGGCCUUCCUGCUUCUCUCUGUGCCUGGGAAGCUGACCUAAAUGGACCACACCACCUGCCUUCCUUGCCCUCUGGCAAUCGACCAACAGAAGUCACCAGCAGGAGAUGAGAGUGAGAAGACAAGAAGAGAUGCAGAAGCUGUUGUCUUGGCCAGGAGGAGAGACACGUCUGCAGCGACAGACAGAAUCCAGCAUGGCGGUCGCUCAGUGGGUGUUGACGUCCUCGCCGGGUUUACCCGGGACUUCCAGGAGGGAGUCUUUCCUAGAGGCAAAGAGGAGCAGAAGCAAGUUAUGGGAACAAGGCGGCGAGUAGGAGAUAGAGAGAAGAAGUGAAAGAAACUGAAGAUGUCGUCUAAGGAUUUGGAGUGUACGCAGUGAAUCAGUAUUGUCUUCUCAGACUCAGAAGCCCAGGCCAGCUGCAUGGCCAGAUGGCCCACUGGCCCCAGUGGGCCUAUCCUGCUGGUCUGAGAACUACAAGCAAAGCAGAGAGAGAGAGAGAGAAAUUAUAGCCAGUGGCUGCUGCAACUCCAGCUGUUGAUCCAAUUCCAGACAUGAGCACAAUGAUGAUCUGGCUGCCAAAAGAAAAACACAUAUUCCAGCCAGAGAAAGAACUGCCAAGGAUCUGAUGAUUUGCUUCCAUAAAUGUGUUGUCUCAUGCACAUCCAGAAGAAAAGCGGAGCUCAGUUUAAUUCUUUUCUUUGGUAUUAUUUGAACUAUUUUGUGAUUUUGUGAUGACUUUGCUACCCAUAGUAUGUUUCAUGGACCAGCAGCAUCCAUGUCCCUCAGAACAGGUUAGAAAUGUAGAAACUUGGGCCCAGCCCCACACCUAGUAACUCAGACUCUGCAUUUUUAACAAGAGCCCCGGGUGAUUCACGUGCACCUUAGGAUUGAGAAGCAUCUGAAGGCAGACAAAGUCAGGGCAUAGGACCGCGUCCAGAGGAUUGGGUAGUGAACUUGGGGUCGAGAGAAGACCAGACUUGAGAUAUGAGACGUGUUCUAGACCCAGUUCUGCCGCUUACCCUCAGUGUGACCCUGGGGAAAUCACUCCCUCUCUUUAGGCAUUGAUUUCAUUUUCUUUAAAAUGGAGAAGAACGUUUGACUUCUUGACUUCAGGAUGGGGAUGAGGAUCGAAUGAGAUACUGUGUCCGGGAAAGGAUCUGUAAAGAAGAAUGCACUUUCCAAACGCAGGAGGAU